AACGAACGCUGGCGGCGCGCCUAAUACAUGCAAGUCGAGCGAGAAGACGUAGCAAUACGUUUGUAAAGCGGCGAACGGGUGAGGAAUACAUGGGUAACCUACCCUCGAGUGGGGAAUAACUAGCCGAAAGGUUAGCUAAUACCGCGUACGCUCCUUGGACUUCGGUUCAGGGAGGAAAGCGAUACCGUGGGUAUCGCGCUCUUGGAUGGGCUCAUGUCCUAUCAGCUUGUUGGUGAGGUAACGGCUCACCAAGGCUUUGACGGGUAGCUGGUCUGAGAGGACGAUCAGCCACACUGGCACUGCGACACGGGCCAGACUCCUACGGGAGGCAGCAGUAAGGAAUAUUGCGCAAUGGGCGAAAGCCUGACGCAGCGACGCCGC
Molecule: ribosomal RNA, 381 nt
Filed under: uncultured bacterium
Lineage: Bacteria
Description: bacterial SSU rRNA
Rfam family: Bacterial small subunit ribosomal RNA
Source: RNAcentral